AUGCCACUACCUGGUUCUGUUUCUCUUUCGCUGGCCACCUGGUUAAGCUCCCAUUGGUCAGGUGUCCGGAGUGGGGCUCACCACUGCAGAGGGCUCCAGCCCUACACAGCGGCCUCCCAGGAAGGACUCAGGAAAAGCACCGACCUCACGCAGGAGAAGGAAGCAUCGUACCCGCACCCUUGUGCAUUCCUUCCCAGCUCAUUCUCCUGCUUACGGGAGCCCACAGGUCAGCCAAGGGAAGAGCUGAGCCAACUGGUCCUUCCACACUCAGUCAUUCAACCUCUCUGUGAAUUCCCAAGUUUUCUGGAAGUUCUUGCUGAUCUCAGCGAUCCUCAAUGGCAGGGCAACAAAGUGCAGGAAGACUCUCAAAGCUGCUUUCUGCCUCCCAAGGCAUCAGAAGUCAGCGCUCCUGGGACUACUCCCACUGGGAAGGAUGCAAUGCAGGGUCAGGAUUCCCCGGGUGAGGAUAAAUCCUGCAGCCUCAGAUCUGCAGCCCUGCUACCAGGCAUGGAGAAGCCAAGCACCCAGUCAAGGUGA
This 537-nucleotide long non-coding RNA is filed under the name Callithrix jacchus (white-tufted-ear marmoset). RNAcentral's name for it is "lncRNA (ENSCJAG00000079925.1)". Lineage: Eukaryota; Metazoa; Chordata; Mammalia; Primates; Cebidae. The record is from RNAcentral.